RNAcentral lists this ribosomal RNA (109 nucleotides) under Citrobacter koseri. The record is from RNAcentral. RNAcentral also lists the same sequence under 17 other names. Lineage: Bacteria; Pseudomonadati; Pseudomonadota; Gammaproteobacteria; Enterobacterales; Enterobacteriaceae.
GCCGUAGCGCGGUGGUCCCACCUGACCCCAUGCCGAACUCAGAAGUGAAACGCCGUAGCGCCGAUGGUAGUGUGGGGUCUCCCCAUGCGAGAGUAGGGAACUGCCAGGC